This 253-nucleotide ribosomal RNA is filed under the name uncultured bacterium. Its description in RNAcentral is "partial 16S ribosomal RNA". It matches the Rfam family "Bacterial small subunit ribosomal RNA", at positions 524 to 776 of the family's 1533-position model. The record is from RNAcentral.
UACAGAGGGUGCGAGCGUUGUUCGGAAUUAUUGGGCGUAAAGGGCGCGUAGGCGGUGCGGUAAGUCACCUGUGAAAUCUCCUGGCUCAACUGGGAGCUUGCAGGCGAAACUGCCGUGCUGGAGUGUGGGAGAGGUGAGUGGAAUUCCCGGUGUAGCGGUGAAAUGCGUAGAUAUCGGAAGGAACGCCGGUGGCGAAAGCGACGUGCUGGACCAUUUCUGACGCUGAGGCGCGAAAGCCAGGGGAGCAAACGGG